This 253-nucleotide ribosomal RNA is filed under the name uncultured bacterium. Its description in RNAcentral is "partial 16S ribosomal RNA". It matches the Rfam family "Bacterial small subunit ribosomal RNA", at positions 524 to 776 of the family's 1533-position model. The record is from RNAcentral.
UACGUAGGGCGCAAGCGUUAUCCGGAUUUCUUGGGCGUAACGAGCUCGUAGGCGGUUUGUCGCGUCUGCCGUGAAAGUCCGGGGCUCAACUCCGGAUCUGCGGUGGGUACGGGCAGACUAGAGUGAUGUAGGGGAGACUGGAAUUCCUGGUGUAGCGGUGAAAUGCGCAGAUAUCAGGAGGAACACCGAUGGCGAAGGCAGGUCUCUGGGCAUUAACUGACGCUGAGGAGCGAAAGCGUGGGGAGCGAACAGG